Molecule: ribosomal RNA, 489 nt
Filed under: uncultured bacterium
Lineage: Bacteria
Description: partial 16S ribosomal RNA
Rfam family: Bacterial small subunit ribosomal RNA
Source: RNAcentral
UUGAACGCUGGCGGCAGGCCUAACACAUGCAAGUCGAACGGUAACAGGAAGCAGCUUGCUGCUUCGCUGACGAGUGGCGGACGGGUGAGUAAUGUCUGGGAGGCUGCCUGAUGGAGGGGGAUAACUACUGGAAACGGUAGCUAAUACCGCAUAAUGUCGCAAGACCAAAGAGGGGGACCUUCGGGCCUCUUGCCAUCGGAUGUGCCCAGAUGGGAUUAGCUUGUUGGUGGGGUAACGGCUCACCAAGGCGACGAUCCCUAGCUGGUCUGAGAGGAUGACCAGCCACACUGGAACUGAGACACGGUCCAGACUCCUACGGGAGGCAGCAGUGGGGAAUAUUGCACAAUGGGCGCAAGCCUGAUGCAGCCAUGCCGCGUGUAUGAAGAAGGCCUUCGGGUUGUAAAGUACUUUCAGCGGGGAGGAAGGGAGUAAAGUUAAUACCUUUGCUCAUUGACGUUACCCGCAGAAGAAGCACCGGCUAACUCCGUG